Molecule: ribosomal RNA, 590 nt
Filed under: Debaryomyces hansenii
Lineage: Eukaryota; Fungi; Ascomycota; Pichiomycetes; Serinales; Debaryomycetaceae
Description: LSU rRNA
Rfam family: Eukaryotic large subunit ribosomal RNA
Source: RNAcentral
CCUACGGGGNAUGNCNGUUAGUACGGCGAGUGAGCGGCAAAAGCUCAAAUUUGAAAUCUGGCACCUUCGGUGUCCGAGUUGUAAUUUGAAGAAGGUAACUUUGGAGUUGGCUCUUGUCUAUGUUCCUUGGAACAGGACGUCACAGAGGGUGAGAAUCCCGUGCGAUGAGAUGCCCAAUUCUAUGUAAAGUGCUUUCGAAGAGUCGAGUUGUUUGGGAAUGCAGCUCUAAGUGGGUGGUAAAUUCCAUCUAAAGCUAAAUAUUGGCGAGAGACCGAUAGCGAACAAGUACAGUGAUGGAAAGAUGAAAAGAACUUUGAAAAGAGAGUGAAAAAGUACGUGAAAUUGUUGAAAGGGAAGGGCUUGAGAUCAGACUUGGUAUUUUGCGAUCCUUUCCUUCUUGGUUGGGUUCCUCGCAGCUUACUGGGCCAGCAUCGGUUUGGAUGGUAGGAUAAUGACUAAGGAAUGUGGCUCUACUUCGGUGGAGUGUUAUAGCCUUGGUUGAUACUGCCUGUCUAGACCGAGGACUGCGUCUUUUGACUAGGAUGUUGGCAUAAUGAUCUUAAGCCACCCGUCUUGAAACACGGACCAAA